This is a long non-coding RNA of Macaca mulatta (Rhesus monkey), 624 nucleotides long. RefSeq lists it as uncharacterized. NCBI's taxonomy places the organism in Eukaryota, Metazoa, Chordata, Mammalia, Primates, Cercopithecidae. The record is from RefSeq and is a predicted model, not a curated record.
CUCUCUAAGAAGCUGUUUUUCCCUGAUGUCCCUUGAGCUGUAAGAUUCCGAAGUACCCUGGAAUGGAGAAGCAUGGAGAGAGUUCCUGCUUCCCCACUCCAGCUGUAUCUGAGCCAGCAUGGCCUCUGCCCACAACUAGGUGGGGCAUGUGAAGAGCACUGUGCCCAGGUAUUGGGGCAGAGGGCAGGUGCCAGGGAGAGCGGGCUGGACCAGGUCACUACAGCAAAGCCACAGGGCAGCAAGCAGUUGAAAGGAGAGGCUUUGGAGUCAGGCGGAUCUGAAUUUCAACCUCCAGUUGUUCCAUUGUGAGACUUUGAGACCUAGGGAAGAAGAAAAAUCGUGUUUCCAGCUUGGGCUGCUGUUUCAUCUGCUGGACUUGCUUGAGCCCUGAAUGGAAAGGAUUACUAUGCACACUUUUUGGAUACAGAAACUGAGAUUCAGAGAGGUUAAACAACUUUCCUAAAGCCACACAGCGAGAGUCCAUCUGAACUGAAGAUUGUUUGACAUCAAAGCUCAUUUCUUUCCCUAAAUGUCAGCAUUCUCUCCUGACUUAUUCAUUUGAUUUCUGUCUUUCCCUCAUGGAAGUUAAUUAAAGGAAUGCGAGAACCUUUUAGAAAAUCUCCA